UACGUAGGGCGCAAGCGUUGUCCGGAAUUAUUGGGCGUAAAGAGCUCGUAGGCGGUUUGUCGCGUCUGCUGUGAAAACCUGAGGCUCAACCUCGGGCUUGCAGUGGGUACGGGCAGACUAGAGUGCGGUAGGGGUGACUGGAAUUCCUGGUGUAGCGGUGGAAUGCGCAGAUAUUAGGAGGAACACCGAUGGCGAAGGCAGGUCACUGGGCCGCAACUGACGCUGAGGAGCGAAAGCAUAGGGAGCGAACAGG
RNAcentral lists this ribosomal RNA (253 nucleotides) under uncultured bacterium. Its description in RNAcentral is "partial 16S ribosomal RNA". It matches the Rfam family "Bacterial small subunit ribosomal RNA", at positions 524 to 776 of the family's 1533-position model. The record is from RNAcentral.